Molecule: ribosomal RNA, 105 nt
Filed under: Nomascus leucogenys (northern white-cheeked gibbon)
Lineage: Eukaryota; Metazoa; Chordata; Mammalia; Primates; Hylobatidae
Source: RNAcentral
AUCUAUAGCCAUACCACCCUGAAAGUGCCCUAUCUUGUCUGAUCUUGGAAGUUAAACAGGGUCAGGCCUGGUUAGUACUUGGAUGGGAGAAAACAAUUCUAGUCU